Molecule: long non-coding RNA, 812 nt
Organism: Pangasianodon hypophthalmus (striped catfish)
Lineage: Eukaryota; Metazoa; Chordata; Actinopteri; Siluriformes; Pangasiidae
Exons: 3
Source: RefSeq, a predicted model, not a curated record
GCAGCAUGGCUAGUUAGCUAACAUAGCUAGCUAGUGUUGUUAGCAAACAGAGCUACUGUUAGCUUGCAUCAGUAACAACCAGCCCAAUGAAAUCAGGCUGAAUUUUCUGUUCUUCUCCUCAGAGAUGAAGGUUGUGUUGCAGCUUCUGGCUGCUCAGGUGGCACUUUGGAUUGUGGACUUUACGCUGAAGAAGACUAGUUUAAAGUGGACUUGUUUCUGUGACUCUGAGAGGAAGUGGAGAUCUCGACUCACAGCAUUAUAAUAAAGCAGCUGUGCUGUGACAGGAAGUGAUUCUCCUUCACCAGAUGGCUGGGUGACACUUUCAACAUGACGAGACGCCACAGCUCGUGGUUUACGGUACAUCAGGAGUGUUUCCACGCUGAACGAUGGCUUACGCACCUGUCGUCUAUGAGUGUGUGUGUGUGUGUGUGUAUUCCAAAGUGCAUGAUGGCACUAGAAAGUGGAGCAUCUGCUUUUAUGCAAAUACUGAACAGAAAAGUGUUUAAUCUGAGCUGAGCUGGCGGUGUUGCAGGAGUGUAACGCGACGCUACUGCCUGUACCUCUGCCUGUCUCAGUCUAGAACACAUUAUCUGUUCAUUCUGUCUUUAUUUAAAAUAAAAUCUGUUUAAUGCCUGACACUGUGCUGCAGCCCUGUUUCUGAUCCACAGUCCAUCAUUUAGCUCCUCGUAUAGAAAACAUUACACUGUUUAGAGUUGCUCUGGAUGCCUCUACACUGAGGUUACGCUACAAUUAAUCAGGAUUCAAGCAUCAGCGACUGCAGCGAUGGAAACAGUGGCCUGAAAAAAUGUUUC